Stylophora pistillata is the source of this 856-nucleotide long non-coding RNA. The record is from RefSeq and is a predicted model, not a curated record. NCBI's taxonomy places the organism in Eukaryota, Metazoa, Cnidaria, Anthozoa, Scleractinia, Pocilloporidae.
AGAAGGGAAAACGGAGAUGUCACCUACAACGUGGAGUGUGUCGACAAGUAUGCAGUUUUCGAGUAUGCAGCUUCUUUAAUGGUUUUAGCCGCUGAUUCCAGGCAGGAGUUACAGUUAGGACAUAGUUGUUCACCAUAGUCGUUUCUGGUUUGGUUAAAAGAAAAGAAGUAAAUGAGAGGGAAGAUCAGAAACCUACAGGAUAUGCAAAGCACAGUUUUGAUUCAAGUAGGAGCCGGUAGGACUGAAUCAUCUAUCACUCAAAAGGGAAGUUAAAAGGAGAUGAACACGUCAUACAAAAUAUCAUCUUCUUGUUUGAUUUUUUAGCUUGCAUUUUAUUUGUAUCGUGUUUGUCUUUCCCUUCAUCUCCUUUCAUGUCAUUUCCCUACGGCUCCUUCCUCACUGGACCGUUCCUCUACCCUGAAAAUGAAAUCCGCAAGUAUUACACAAAAGUGUUUUAAGCGACGUUGUCACAUAUGUGGAAAUUGAUAACAAUGACAAAAAUAAUGAUAAUAAUAACGAUAAUAACAACAACGAUGAUAGUGAUAGGAACGGUGGUGAUAAUAUUGAACGACAAAAGAGCUUAUGAGAAAAUCAGUGAACCGGGCGAGAAAGGCAGUCAUGAUGCUUCAGAAAUAUGGAAAGUGUUGGCGUGGUGUCAGAGAACCGAAUAGCCGAAAUAAUACAUUUUUUGGUAAUAAUUGAUAUCAAAAUUUAUUACAUCGCUCACAGCGCCGUGGGCAAGAUGAAGCGAAUCCUGUGUUCUGAUUGGCUAACCGAGCGGGAAAGAUGGGCUUAUCUUGGCUUCUCGGGAUUGCCGGCAUUUAUCCCGCGCAUGAAAAAAUAGAAUUAGAACUAC